Molecule: small RNA, 966 nt
Filed under: uncultured bacterium
Lineage: Bacteria
Description: bacterial SSU rRNA
Rfam family: Bacterial small subunit ribosomal RNA (bases 1-489)
Source: RNAcentral
AUGGCUGUCGUCAGCUCGUGUCGUGAGAUGUAUGGUUAAGUCCAGUAACGAGCGCAACCCCUAUCCUUAUUUGCCAGCGCGUAAUGGCGGGAACUAUAGGGAGACUGCCGGGUGAAACCCGGAGGAAGGCGGGGACGAGGUCAAGUCAUCAUGGCCCUUAUGGAUUGGGCUACACACGUGCUACAAUGGGAAGUACAGAGGGAUGCGAAAGCGCGAGCUGGAGCCAAACCCUUAAAACUUUUCUUAGUCCGGAUUGGAGUCUGCAACUCGACUCCAUGAAGUUGGAAUCACUAGUAAUCGCGAAUCAGAAUGUCGCGGUGAAUACGUUCUCGGGCCUUGUACACACCGCCCGUCACAUCAUGGAAGUGGGUUGCACCAGAAGUGGUUAGUCUAACCUUCGGGAAGACGAUCACCACGGUGUGAUUCAUGACUGGGAUGAAGUCGUAACAAGGUAGCCCUAGGGGAACCUGGGGCUGGAUCACCUCCUUAAAAUAAAACGUUUUUUUGUAGGCGUUCACACGAAUUACUUAUUUCUUUUUAUCUUUUUUAGAUAAAGAAGAGUUCUUUAACAUUUUUAUAAGUUCAAUCAAGUCAUAUCAUGAAUAUUUAUAUUCAUUGGUAUGCAAAUUAACUAUUCUUCAGAUCUUCAUAUUUAUAUGAAUAUUUGUUGAAUAAAACUAUUCUUCAGAUCUUCAUAUUUAUAUGAAUAUUUGUUGAAUAACUGCAAAGUAAUUUGGCGUUUUUUGUGUUUUUUAAAACACAAUUUUGUGUCUUUUAGACACAAUAAGUAGAUAGAAAUGCUUGGUAUAUAUCAUUAAGUUAAUUGAUGUAAUAUGGUCAAGUAGUGAAGUGCAAACGGUGGAUGCCUUGGCAGCUAGAGGCGAUGAAGGACGUAGUAACUUGCGAUAAGCUUCGGGGAGUCGGUAACAGACUUUGAUCCGGAGAUUUCCGAAUGGGGAAACCCGG